UCCCUGGAGGACUAGUGGUUAGGCAACAGCUCUCUCACCUUUGCCGCCUGGGUUCGAUGCCCAGCCAGGGAA
Molecule: transfer RNA, 72 nt
Filed under: Pangasianodon hypophthalmus (striped catfish)
Lineage: Eukaryota; Metazoa; Chordata; Actinopteri; Siluriformes; Pangasiidae
Description: tRNA-Glu
Source: RNAcentral